RNAcentral lists this small RNA (50 nucleotides) under Sinorhizobium meliloti 2011. RNAcentral describes it as "putative ncRNA". The record is from RNAcentral. Lineage: Bacteria; Pseudomonadati; Pseudomonadota; Alphaproteobacteria; Hyphomicrobiales; Rhizobiaceae.
AAAUGAAUGUCGGCCUUGAGGAUACGCGCACCCGCGUCCGGCGGUUGCUU